CUGCGGUAUUAACGAAUUUCUGAGUAGAAUGGUGAGAGAGCAUUACUCGUCGUCGCCAUCAUGGUUCGCCGACACAGUUACUGUUGCAGUGCUUUUUCUCGUAGCAGUUCAUGUCAUUGCAUUGGUAUAUUCGCUUUAUAAAUUAGCGAACUUCAGACAACCCCAAGGAAAAAAGAUUCAAUGACCAACACCAACAGAUUGAUUCAUUGAACAUUAAGUUUGGUGAACCUCGGAUUGCUCUUGUAGGAAAUCUUUACUCGAUAUAGUUCAUUUGAAAGGAUCGUUUCAUAGUCUGCCGAAAAUUUCUGCUCGGUCAUUCCUUCGAGAGUUCGUAAGUCCUCGGACUCUUAACUACUCGCGGUUCUAUUAUAGUAUUUGAUUGCAUCACUUACCAUUUCAAGCAGUGACUGCAUCGACAUUGAUCAGAUUGUAACUCUGAUGAUCAUGUGAAGGAAUUUUGUCAAUUCUCCAAAUCUGUUGAUUAUUAAAUCAGUUUUCUUUAGCUAUUGUCUUUUGUGUUAAA
This is a long non-coding RNA of Neltuma alba, 523 nucleotides long. RefSeq lists it as uncharacterized. NCBI's taxonomy places the organism in Eukaryota, Viridiplantae, Streptophyta, Magnoliopsida, Fabales, Fabaceae. The transcript has 2 exons. The record is from RefSeq and is a predicted model, not a curated record.